Girardinichthys multiradiatus is the source of this 361-nucleotide long non-coding RNA. RefSeq lists it as uncharacterized. The record is from RefSeq and is a predicted model, not a curated record. The transcript has 3 exons. NCBI's taxonomy places the organism in Eukaryota, Metazoa, Chordata, Actinopteri, Cyprinodontiformes, Goodeidae.
GAACCUUUUCUAAGCAUCGUGUCAAGAGUUUCAGUGUAAUAAGAAUGGAGGUAAGAAACUGUGAAUGAAGCAGCUGACAGAAGAAGGAUGGAAGAGGCUAGAGAAACGUCUCCACCAGGAAUAUCUAAAUUCCUUCAGCUUGUUGGAGUCAGCUUUGGACUGCUGUGUAUAAUACAAUCAGCUCUCAACAUUUUUUUUUUGCAACAACAAGUUGGGCUUUCUAAAGUCUGUAAUGUCUCAGCCUGCAAUGUCACCUUGCUAUCAGAAGAUUACAUGAGAGCCAUGAUCUUAAAGGAAGAAAAACAUCUUAAAGAAAUACAUCAGCUGGUUCAAGAGAAAAAUCAAUUGUUUGCGAAGAACA